This 329-nucleotide unclassified non-coding RNA is filed under the name uncultured Geastrum. RNAcentral describes it as "sequence contains ITS1". The stretch from base 1 to 106 matches the Rfam family "5.8S ribosomal RNA", at positions 50 to 154 of the family's 154-position model. The record is from RNAcentral. Lineage: Eukaryota; Fungi; Basidiomycota; Agaricomycetes; Geastrales; Geastraceae.
GAACGUGCGAAACGUAAUGUGAAUUGCAGAAUUCAGUGAAUCAUCGAAUCUUUGAACGCAUCUUGCGCUCCUUGGUAUUCCGAGGAGCAUGCCUGUUUGAGUGUCGUGAAUACUCUCAAUUUCAAUCUUUUUUGUUUGAAAUUGGACUUGGAUGUUGCUGUGAAUGAUCACAGCUCAUCCUAAAUGCAUUAGCGAUCUGCCUUGAUCACACACAAUGUGAUAAAUAAAGCAUUGUUAUUAAUCAAGUCAAGACGGCUUCUAAUAGUCGAAAGACAAGCAUAUAUAUGUCAUUUGACCUCAAAUCAGGUAGGACUACCCGCUGAACUUAA